CUGGACUUCCUUCUUCAUGUUGCUGCUCGUGCUUCUUUCUUCACGCACCACCCCCUUUGCUGGAACGUUCUCAUGGGCCACUGCAUGCUCUCUUUCUUUCCAAGCCACCUGCACAAUCCUGGACUUGCAACCCGUCACACCAUUUCUCUUUGCUGGACACCACCCUCUUCAAAGCCUGCUGGAAAAUGCUGGAUGCGUGUUGAACUUGGACGCAUGGUCUCCUUUCUCAAUUGCCGCUAGAGCUCCUGGACGCGUGCUUUUUUCUUUCGCUGCUGUGUUGGCCCCUCAUGUGGAGUGCUGCUGCCCUGGACGUGUGUCUCUCCUUGGAUGUGUGCUGAACCUGCUUGCUGUCCAUUGAAGAGCGAAUGAGCUGCUUCACGUGCACCCCUCAUUCAUCCAGCACACACCACUUUCAUUUGAGUCCACGUGCAACAGCUUCUGCUGGACUGUGCAGGCCGUGCUUCCAGAUUCAUUACCGAGUUCACCUCCUGAUGAAUGAAGGCUCUCCUUUCUUCUCCAAGCACCUCCUUCAUGUGUGCUGGACGCUGCUGCUGGACCGUGAGCGUGGACGUGUGGUGGGCCGUGGUGAAGCUGGAUGCUGCUUGAAGGACGCACAUCUUUCUCCAAGCUGCUGGAUGGGAGCUGCUGGACGUUAACUGGGCCAAACACGUGUGCUGCUCCCUUUUUGCUUUCAAGCCCAAAUGAGCGUGCACCUCCUUGCAGCCUUUGCUGUCCUGACCUCCACCAAAUUAAAGGUGUUGGCUUGCUGGAAGGAAAAGCACGGAGACCUACAAGAAGGAGAGCUCCAAGUUUGCUUGAUUCAAUUGGGCUGAAGUAGCUGCCACGUCCUUGGGGAGUUGUGUGCUUGAUUCAUUAGAAAGAAAGAUGUGCUUCACGGUCUUGCUGCUAGCACAAGCAAAUUGAAGUGGUGUCACGGCCCAUGGGGAAUGCAUUUGGAGCGUCCAAGCGGACUCAAAUGGAAGUGGUGUGUGCAUGGAGAGAAAGGGUGUGACGGGAAGCAGCAUGUGGUGGCAAAGGUAGAAGCAGCAAGCCCGGGAGGCACCACGUGUCCAGCAAGCUAAAAAGCGGGACAGCACGUGAUGGAGAGGGGGGAUUCACUUCUUUAUUUUUAAGGUCACGUGAGUGAUUGAUAGGAGGGAGCCGCCACUUAAGUGGGGUGACGGAGCAGAAGAAAUAUAAACACAUGGGCCCAUGGAUAAUGAAAUGGGGAGCGUCCACCAAGCACAACAGAGAACAGCGGAUUCGGUCCAGUAAGCAAGUCCACCAAGGCCUGGAAGAGCAGCUGCACGCGUAAAAAUGGUGAGGGCCUGAUUUCAUGAAGUUUUUCACGCAUCCAGCAAAAACGGGCAGCAGCCGCCACCCAAGGAAGCACACGAACAUUCUGAUAUGGAGGGUUACGGGUGCUUUUCAUGGAGGAGGCACAUCACAUUUUGAAGAAAGAGGAGUUGGCACAUCAGGAGGGAGUAGCCCCCGAAAGGGUUUUCUUUUAUUGUGUUCAUGCUCGGAUGAGAAUGAAUUUUAUAUUCCAAUUGUUGAAAUACCAAAAGCAUUGAAUGGGCCACCGGUUUUGAAGUAUUUUGCUAUGAAUCAUCAUUUAAGUUUUUCAA
Vigna angularis (adzuki bean) is the source of this 1628-nucleotide long non-coding RNA. RefSeq lists it as uncharacterized. The transcript is spliced from 2 exons. The record is from RefSeq and is a predicted model, not a curated record. NCBI's taxonomy places the organism in Eukaryota, Viridiplantae, Streptophyta, Magnoliopsida, Fabales, Fabaceae.